AUUACAGGCCGUUGCAGUUUCUAUUUUGGACGUGAGACGGUAGUAUCACAGUCUGUUGGGAUGAUUGGACACAAAACAAAUCCUCUCGUGCACUUUAUGAGUAAAUGGGUGCUGUCGAUGAAUGAGGCGGGUCUUUUCGAUCAUUGGUACACUCAAGCAAAGCCCAACUCUACCAGCUGUGUCAGCUUACCGAGCAAGAUCACUGUAAGCGCACCGUUCUCUUUCAGCAAUUCCUGGGCCAUGUUUGUGUUGCUGUUGUUUGGAUUGGGUGCCAGCUUACAAGUUCUUGUUCUAGAAGUACUUCACAGCUUGAUUCUGCGAUAACUAUCCAGUUCAGAUUUAGCAACCAAGGUUGAAGUACUUAUUACUGAAAAACUGAUUUUUUCUUUUUUUAUGCAUCUUCAAUAAU
Scylla paramamosain (green mud crab) is the source of this 409-nucleotide long non-coding RNA. RefSeq lists it as uncharacterized. The transcript is spliced from 3 exons. NCBI's taxonomy places the organism in Eukaryota, Metazoa, Arthropoda, Malacostraca, Decapoda, Portunidae. The record is from RefSeq and is a predicted model, not a curated record.